This 519-nucleotide ribosomal RNA is filed under the name uncultured bacterium. Its description in RNAcentral is "partial 16S ribosomal RNA". It matches the Rfam family "Bacterial small subunit ribosomal RNA", at positions 29 to 507 of the family's 1533-position model. The record is from RNAcentral.
ACGAACGCUGGCGGCGUGCCUCAUACAUGCAAGUCGAACGCACUCUCGUUUAGAUUGAAGGAGUUUGCUCCUGAUUGAUAAACAUUUGAGUGAGUGGCGGACGGGUGAGUAACACGUGGGUAACCUGCCCUAAAGUGGGGGAUAACAUUUGGAAACAGAUGCUAAUACCGCAUAAAACCUAACACCGCAUGGUGUAGGGUUGAAAGAUGGUUUCGGCUAUCACUUUAGGAUGGACCCGCGGUGCAUUAGUUAGUUGGUGAGGUAAAGGCUCACCAAGACCGUGAUGCAUAGCCGACCUGAGAGGGUAAUCGGCCACACUGGGACUGAGACACGGCCCAGACUCCUACGGGAGGCAGCAGUAGGGAAUCUUCCACAAUGGACGAAAGUCUGAUGGAGCAACGCCGCGUGAGUGAAGAAGGUUUUCGGAUCGUAAAACUCUGUUGUUGGAGAAGAAUGUAUCUGAUAGUAACUGAUCAGGUAGUGACGGUAUCCAACCAGAAAGCCACGGCUAACUACGUG